RNAcentral lists this ribosomal RNA (194 nucleotides) under Rubia alata. RNAcentral's name for it is "5.8S ribosomal RNA". The stretch from base 5 to 160 matches the Rfam family "5.8S ribosomal RNA". From Rfam's summary of the family: 5.8S ribosomal RNA (5.8S rRNA) is a component of the large subunit of the eukaryotic ribosome. Lineage: Eukaryota; Viridiplantae; Streptophyta; Magnoliopsida; Gentianales; Rubiaceae. The record is from RNAcentral.
ACACGACUCUCGGCAACGGAUAUCUAGGCUCUCGCAUCGAUGAAGAACGUAGCAAAAUGCGAUACUUGGUGUGAAUUGCAGAAUCCCGUGAAUCAUCGAGUUUUUGAACGCAAGUUGCGCCCGAAGCCAUCCGGCCGAGGGCACGUCUGCCUGGGCGUCACGCAUCUCGUCGCCACCCCCUCCUCCCAGUCCUC